UGGUCAGACACUAGCACAGGAGGAGGGGGAUGGUCAGACACUAUUACAGGAGGAGGGGAGGGGGGGUGGUCAGACACUAGCACAGGAGGAGGGUGGUGGUCAGACACUAGCACAGGAGGGGGGUGGUCAGACACUAGCACAGGAGGAGGGUGGUGGUCAGACACUAGCACAGGAGGAGGGGGGUGGUCAGACACUAGCACAGGAGGAGGGGGGUGGUCAGACACUAGCACAGGAGGAGGGUAGUGGUCACACACUAGCACAGGAGGGUAGGGGAUGGUCAGACACUAGCACAGGAGGAGGGUAGUGGUCACACACUAGCACAGGAGGGUAGGGGAUGGUCAGACACUAGCACAGGAGGAGGGGGAUGGUCAGACACUAGCACAGGAGGAGGGUAGUGGUCACACACUAGCACAGGAGGGUAGGGGAUGGUCAGACACUAGCACAGGAGGAGGGUAGUGGUCACACACUAGCACAGGAGGGUAGUGAUCACACAGGAAAGUAGUGGUCACACACUAGCAGAGGAAGAGGGUACGGGUCACACAGUAGCAGAGGAGAUGUCUUCAGAGUACAUUUUAUAACCGCUGGCUAAGGAAAUAAACUCUA
Long non-coding RNA from Haliotis rubra (blacklip abalone), 603 nucleotides. RefSeq lists it as uncharacterized. The transcript has 6 exons. Lineage: Eukaryota; Metazoa; Mollusca; Gastropoda; Lepetellida; Haliotidae. The record is from RefSeq and is a predicted model, not a curated record.